Pezoporus occidentalis (night parrot) is the source of this 1553-nucleotide long non-coding RNA. RefSeq lists it as uncharacterized. Lineage: Eukaryota; Metazoa; Chordata; Aves; Psittaciformes; Psittacidae. The transcript is spliced from 2 exons. The record is from RefSeq and is a predicted model, not a curated record.
AGAUGACAGCCUGGAGAAGGUGUUUGCAAAUGGCUGACUCAGAGGAUGAUGAUCAGCACAACGGUGCCUUCUGCCUGUGCUAGUACUAUGUGUUUAUAGGAGCGAUGUUAUAAGGUGACAGUUGCCAGUUCAGCUCCACCCCUUGAUCUGUUCACCAGAGAUUAUGAAGCCUGGAAAGACAAAAUGAGCAAAUGGAGGAAGGAGCAUAUUAAUUGGUCUUUAAAGGGUGCUUAAGAGUGUGUCCUUGAAGGAGGAGUUAUCUAUGUUCAUCAGCACCCAUCCAUACCUCAGUAGGAAGAGGACUGAGAACUGGGAGCCUUCCCUCACCUGCUGCAUAGAUAAGGCUUUCUUUGGCACUCCACAAGCCUUCCUUCAACCUGAAGACCCUUUCAGCAUUUGGAUGGUAAAUGGCAUCAAAGAUCACCACCCACCACUCAUAAGACAUUCUUCCAUGGUGAAAGCAUAAUGUGAAGCAUGGGUCACCUCUUGUAACUUCAGGGAUCAUGGAUUCUGUCCCAGGUGUAAAGGUGAGGCUGCCAAGGUCAAAAUGCAGACAGCAGAAGGCUGUAGGAUGAAGUGCAGGCAGUUUUGUGUCAUGUUACAGUGGUAUAGUCUUUUAAUGCUAAUCAGUUCAGUGAAAAAUCCUCUUGUUUUGAUGUGAAUAGCACAGAUCCUAUCUCCAGCAAAUUAGUGUUGUGAUGACUUUCUCUAAAAGGAAAGUCAUCACCUGGAGCAAUGUAAUCACCAAAGGAAGAAAAGUGCCAAGUCAUCUGAAGCUUUGUCUCUCCUGAUUGCAAUCAUAUUUUAUACUCAAGUAAAGAGAAACUGCUGUGACAAUGGAGCAAGGAAGCAGUGGCUGUUCAACAUCCAUCUAUUGUGGAUAUGGAACUGCGAAGCCAUUUUCAAGGCAGCCUCUGUACACAGAUGUUCACUCACUGGAGAUAAUUUCAGCAGGCACACCUAGAGCUUUAUGGGACUGUGGGAACUGAUUGAUUCCCCUUCCUCCAUCUAAUCAGCCACCCAGUCAGGCAGCUGAGGCAGCCAGGAGCAAUGGGAGGACGCUGCACGAUUUCCUUCAUCUUCUAAAUGCAAAAGUAUGAGGUUGUCAGAGUUGUCAUGUUAGUCCUUCCUUCUAAAUUCCCAUUAAUGUGUCUUAAAAAUAUGACAUCCCCGCACAUGGAAAGGUGGUAACGUGCUGCUCAGGUGCACAGCCCCUGGCCUCUGACCCACCUGGGAAGGCAACGAGCUGCUUAAGACCCCUACACCCCUUUGAUGGCCCUCCAGGAGCCUGCAGAAGAUGCCAUCCAGUGGCAGCAAGGUAACAUUACAAGAGCAGCCAAUAAAACCGGCCCUUGACACCAUCCUUGACAAAAAGUUGUAUCUGGUCGUGACUUAACUGCAUAAUCAAAACUCCCAGGAUGUCUGUGGGCUGUGGUGAAGACUUGAGUGACACCCAUCUCUAAUUAUGUUAAUUGGACGGCUUCUUUUUCCUCUGCAGAAACCCUUAUGCUUUUGUUUGCAGGGAAUAAAUAAAGAGGGAUUAGUUACAUUUA